CAGCUUGGCAAUUCAUCAAAGGAUAGACUGAUCAUAAUUAGACUAGACAGAUCGAGUUCACAUUGCAGGCUGUUGACUGUAAUUUUACUUGGUAGCAUUCUUCCAUAUCAUUCUUAAUGCAAGUUAUCUUAUUCAUCAUGCAGAAAUACAAUUGAUGUAAUUUGUUGAAUGACAUGAAUGAUGUUUUGUGAUUGUAAAACUGUUUUAUUUGAGGCAUGGUGUUCUUUACUGACUUGUUAGUGAAUAUUUGGCAAGUAUUUUUCUGUUCCUAAUGGAAUAACUAAGAUACUGUCAGUUGUCAGUAUCCUAGAUCUGUGCCUUCUUUCUACUUUUGCUACUAAUCAGUUAAGGUAGCCUGAUUUUUCUGUCUUUUCAAACUCACGAACAAUUAGCUUUUGCUUAGUACCUUAAUUUGGAGGAAACUUGAACAUGUGACCAAGCUCAUGUUUGUCUGGUAAAAUGGGAGGAUUUCACAAUCUGCGUCUCUCCUUCCAAUUAGAAUAGUGAAGUGCAGACUCGUGAUCUCUAGUAGCUAUUAAAUUUGACCACGUACCAAGAGUCAUUUCCUAAAAAAAAAAAAAAAAAGCUUCUUAUUAUAUUACACUUCACAAAUUUAAGGUGCAUAACAUUUCUUGUUUAUAGCCCUUACCAAUAUCCAAUAUAUGAUAUCAUUCUCAUGAAUUUCUCUCUGGGACUAAAAAUCUGAUCGAUCUGUCUGUCUGUCUAUCUAUUUGUACAAAGAGCAAUGACUUUUCCUGCAUUGGUGAUAGAAUAUUAUUUUGUGCUAUGGCCAGAGACCAAAGCAACUUGUACUGAAGAAUCUAUUUUACUGUUAUCCAGGAGUCAUAAUUUGUCAAAACUCAACAUAGAAAUAUCAGUUCCAUCUUUGUGUGUGUGUGCGGUUAUUGCACAUCAUUUAAUCUCUUUCCACAACUCUGGAUCGUCUAAUGCCGUAAAUGCCUGCACACGUUUACGGCGAUGUCCAAUAAUGUUCAACCAGCGUACACCAGUGUGGAAUGCGGGCCGGAUGGACGACUUCCGCCCCGGGCGACAUUCCUGGCCAGGGGGACCACCUACUGUGCAGCAUCUCUCGCUAACGCAAACGCACAGGCUUCCACGAUAUGGACUUGCAGGCGUGCCAACCCGCAUCACUGGCUAAAACGAACAUCUGCAGCAUCUGAAAUGGAACCGGAUCUCAAAAGUACCGUAACGUUACCGAGGUUACGAAGCAGUCCAAAGGACAGGUGUCAGGCUUAGAAUAUGGCUUAUGGCUGGAACUUAACUACGGUGAAACGAGAUCUUCUUAAAAUCGAAGUGCUAAACGUACCGUGUCGUCUUUUACCAGCGACGUUACAAAACGUGCCCGUUACGUCACCGCUCCGUUGGCGUUUCUCAUACAGCACGAGGAAAGCUCAUCCAGCAAUGUGUCGGUGCAUUGCUGCUGAAGUCGCGUACUUGCAGUGGGAGCAGGAAACGAAUGUGCUACUUUAUAGCAGACAACGAAUCGGCCAAUUCGAAAUGUGGUCGUCUGGUUAAAUUCCUCAAAGAGAUGGUGUCCUUCCAGCACGCUGAGCGGAGACACGUUAUAGAUUUAGAGAGCCUUUUAGAGCUUAGGGUCCCUUUAAAGAGUGACUGUGGGAGGGCUCAGCAAACUCAACCAGCUCAUCAUUUCAGAAAAUGUCAAUGUACUUUGAGAGUUAAAGACAUCACAAGCCUGAACAGUCCUCAGUGAUGAAAAAGAAUGACUGACUACCAUACUGAGGACAGACCAGAGAGUAUGUCUGACGGCUCUGCGUUGCUCCCGGAAGCAGAGGUGGCGUCUGCCCCAGGCCCUGAAUCUGUGCUUGUUCGCCGGCUCUCCGGCCGAAGCCUCCAGCUGCCCCCGCUAGCCUUCCGGCUGGCGGAACAGAGUGACUUGGAGGUCAGGGAGGUAGAGCAGGUCCCUCGACCCACCACGCUGGCGCUGCGCCUGACCCCCCUGAUCGCCAUCACCUCGCCUGAUGCCAGUAGGUCAGUGCAAUGACGUGUGUCAGGGCCCUGGGACUUUUUGGUUCCUUACACUCAAUGUUUGGAGUUGUAGUUCUGAUGUGGAUGAGGUGCUGGGUUGGUGUAUCUAUGCAAAUGCAAUCAGAGAAGGGAUGUGAACAAAAGUUACAAUUAAUAUCAUAUAAUGGACAUAGAAAACUUUAAAUUAGAAUUAUAAUAUAUAUUAUAAUUAUAAUACAUACAGAAAUGUAUUUUACAUAGUACAUCAGAAUAAUGGUACACUUAGUAUAACAAACAUGAACACUAAUUUAAAUAUUACAAGAUUUUUGUUUUAACCACGGCACAAAAUAUGAACCAUUCAGUUAUACUUGUGAUUUAUGUUGGCAUAUAUGAUGAUGGAUAAUGUAAUUGUACCCACAGAAAAUCUGACGGGCCAAAAUGCUUUCUAGU
Non-coding RNA from Electrophorus electricus (electric eel), 2436 nucleotides. The record is from RefSeq and is a predicted model, not a curated record. NCBI's taxonomy places the organism in Eukaryota, Metazoa, Chordata, Actinopteri, Gymnotiformes, Gymnotidae.